Molecule: ribosomal RNA, 559 nt
Filed under: Bacillus cereus
Lineage: Bacteria; Bacillati; Bacillota; Bacilli; Caryophanales; Bacillaceae
Description: partial 16S ribosomal RNA
Source: RNAcentral
AAGGAGGUGAUCCAGCCGCACCUUCCGAUACGGCUACCUUGUUACGACUUCACCCCAAUCAUCUGUCCCACCUUAGGCGGCUGGCUCCAAAAAGGUUACCCCACCGACUUCGGGUGUUACAAACUCUCGUGGUGUGACGGGCGGUGUGUACAAGGCCCGGGAACGUAUUCACCGCGGCAUGCUGAUCCGCGAUUACUAGCGAUUCCAGCUUCAUGUAGGCGAGUUGCAGCCUACAAUCCGAACUGAGAACGGUUUUAUGAGAUUAGCUCCACCUCGCGGUCUUGCAGCUCUUUGUACCGUCCAUUGUAGCACGUGUGUAGCCCAGGUCAUAAGGGGCAUGAUGAUUUGACGGCAUCCCCACCUUCCUCCGGUUUGUCACCGGCAGUCACCCUAGAGUGCCCAACUUAAUGAUGGCAACUAAGAUCAAGGGUUGCGCUCGUUGCGGGACUUAACCCAACAUCUCACGACACGAGCUGACGACAACCAUGCACCACCUGUCACUCUGCUCCCGAAGGAGAAGCCCUAUCUCUAGGGUUUUCAGAGGAUGUCAAGACCUGGU